GGACCUGUAGCUUAACUGGAUAGAGCACUACACUACGGAUGUAGUGGUUGGGGGUUCGAAUCCCUCCAGGUCCACAA
This 77-nucleotide transfer RNA is filed under the name Candidatus Amoebophilus sp. 36-38. Its description in RNAcentral is "tRNA-Arg". It matches the Rfam family "tRNA". Rfam says of the family: Transfer RNA (tRNA) molecules are approximately 80 nucleotides in length. Their secondary structure includes four short double-helical elements and three loops (D, anti-codon, and T loops). The record is from RNAcentral. Lineage: Bacteria; Pseudomonadati; Bacteroidota; Cytophagia; Cytophagales; Amoebophilaceae.